UACGUAGGGUGCGAGCGUUAAUCGGAAUUACUGGGCGUAAAGCGUGCGCAGGCGGUUCGUUAAGUCAGAUGUGAAAGCCCCGGGCUCAACCUGGGAACUGCAUUUGAAACUGGCGGGCUUGAGUGUGGCAGAGGGGGGUGGAAUUCCGCGUGUAGCAGUGAAAUGCGUAGGGAUGCGGAGGAACACCGAUGGCGAAGGCAGCCCCCUGGGCCAACACUGACGCUCAGGCACGAAAGCGUGGGGAGCAAACAGG
Molecule: ribosomal RNA, 253 nt
Filed under: uncultured bacterium
Lineage: Bacteria
Description: partial 16S ribosomal RNA
Rfam family: Bacterial small subunit ribosomal RNA
Source: RNAcentral